This 759-nucleotide ribosomal RNA is filed under the name uncultured delta proteobacterium. RNAcentral's name for it is "bacterial SSU rRNA". It matches the Rfam family "Bacterial small subunit ribosomal RNA", at positions 75 to 811 of the family's 1533-position model. Lineage: Bacteria; Deltaproteobacteria. The record is from RNAcentral.
GCUUGCAGAAGAUAGUAAAGUGGCGCACGGGUGAGUAACGCGUGGGUAAUCUACCUCUAACUCGGGGAUAACAUUGCGAAAGUGAUGCUAAUACCGGAUAAUACCUAAUUUGCUUCGGCAUUUUAGUUCAAAGGUGGCCUCUAUAUAUAAGCUACUGAUUGGAGAUGAGCCCGCGUACCAUUAGCUUGUUGGUAGGGUAAUGGCCUACCAAGGCUACGAUGGUUAGCUGGUCUGAGAGGAUGAUCAGCCACACUGGAACUGACACACGGUCCAGACUCCUACGGGAGGCAGCAGUGAGGAAUUUUGCGCAAUGGGGGAAACCCUGACGCAGCAACGCCGCGUGAGUGAUGAAGGCUUUCGGGUCGUAAAGCUCUGUCAAGUGGGUAGAACCUGCCCUUUUCUAAUAUGACUGGGCACUGACGGUACCACUGAAGGAAGCACCGGCUAACUCCGUGCCAGCAGCCGCGGUAACACGGGGGGUGCAAGCGUUAUUCGGAAUCACUGGGCGUAAAGAGCGCGUAGGCGGUCUUUUAAGUCAGAUGUGAAAGCCCGGGGCUCAACCCCGGAAGUGCAUUUGAAACUAAGGGACUUGAGUAUGGGAGAGGGAAGUGGAAUUCCUGGUGUAGCGGUGAAAUGCGUAGAUAUCAGGAGGAACACCGGUGGCGAAGGCGACUUCCUGGACCAAUACUGACGCUGAGGCGCGAAGGCGUGGGGAGCAAACAGGAUUAGAUACCCUGGUAGUCCACGCAGUAAACGUUG